UCCCUGCUGGCUUACAUGGUAGAGAAUCUGCCUGCAGUGCAGGAGACCCAGGUUCAAUCCCUUGGUUGGGAA
Molecule: transfer RNA, 72 nt
Filed under: Bos taurus (domestic cattle)
Lineage: Eukaryota; Metazoa; Chordata; Mammalia; Artiodactyla; Bovidae
Also listed under: 2 other names
Rfam family: tRNA
About the family: Transfer RNA (tRNA) molecules are approximately 80 nucleotides in length.
Source: Rfam by way of RNAcentral